This 561-nucleotide unclassified non-coding RNA is filed under the name Hevea brasiliensis (rubber tree). Lineage: Eukaryota; Viridiplantae; Streptophyta; Magnoliopsida; Malpighiales; Euphorbiaceae. The record is from RNAcentral.
GUAAUAAGUUCUUAGACACCCUCCCCUUACAAGUCGAUUUUCAAAGAUGAGUUCUACCUAGGUGUCUAUUCCUUCCUAGGUUCAAACUUAGUAACUGUGGUGCUAAACGGUUCAUAUCAAUGGUAUUAGAGCUAGCCCCAUCCUACGAGACUCAAUAUUCGUAGCGGUGAUCCAUGGAAUGCUAGUUCAUGGAUUGCAUAAGAACAGGUGGUUCGAUGUGUAGGGUGCUUGCCAUGACCAACAUGGCCAUGACUAACGAGGACGUUGGUUCUCCAAAUGUAGAGUAUUAUUAUGAUUCUACAUUGCUAAAAGACAAGUUUGGUGAGAGCUUAAUAAGUCCUUAGGCACCCUCUCCUUGCAAGCUGGUUUUCAAGGAUGAGUUCUACUUGGGUGCCUAUUGCUCCCAUUGUUCAACCUUAGUGACAGUGGUGCUCAAUGGUUCAUAUAACUAAUGGACAUUACAAUCAUGUGAGAAAGGUUAAGGUCGGCGCAUCUCUGCUAAAAUCGUCAACCAACUACCAAUCAACUCAUGCCUUGGAUCCCAUUGAAAAAAGAAAAAGA